Molecule: ribosomal RNA, 253 nt
Filed under: uncultured bacterium
Lineage: Bacteria
Description: partial 16S ribosomal RNA
Rfam family: Bacterial small subunit ribosomal RNA
Source: RNAcentral
UACGUAGGGUGCAAGCGUUAUCCGGAAUUAUUGGGCGUAAAGAGCUCGUAGGCGGUUUGUCGCGUCUGCUGUGAAAACUGGAGGCUCAACCUCCAGCCUGCAGUGGGUACGGGCAGACUAGAGUGCGGUAGGGGAGAUUGGAAUUCCUGGUGUAGCGGUGGAAUGCGCAGAUAUCAGGAGGAACACCGGUGGCGAAAGCGGCUCACUGGACCGAAUCUGACACUGAGGUGCGAAAGCUAGGGUAGCAAACGGG